CCCCCGAACCUCUAGCUCGAGCUCGAGGUGCUCUCCAUCCCCUCCCCAUCGCCAUGGCCGUCGCCUCGGGCUCUGCUCGAUCCCGGGGCUGCCACGCCCCUCUCGCCGUUCCGCCCCCACCAUAGAGAUCCCUGGGGUCCGGUGAGCCGCCUCGUUGCCUUGCCCACCCAGUUGCCCCACCGGAGCACCUUGCUCGACGGUGGCCGAAGCCUCUCUCCGCCGCGCGCCCUGCUGCUCCCUCCCUAGUGCUCCUCGAUGGCAGCUGACACCACAAUGGGAUGCGCCUAUCGCUCCUGAGCUCGUGGGUAGGUCGGCCGUCGUCUUCGGUGGCCGGAGCCGCCGGCAAUCGCCGUCGAGGCGAGCCCCUCCCUCUGUCAGGCACGCCACGAGCGGGAGGUUGAAGACGCCAGGCCAAGAGGGCCCCUUCCCGCGCGACCCUACCUGGCAGCGUCUCGGCGUUCACCCCGCCACGGGCCCGCGUCUGUAAGUGGAAGCGUAUUCUGGAAAACGUAUUCAAUUUAAAGGCGCGUUCAGGUUUUCCUCCAGGGGCCUGUUUGCUGAAAAAAUUCACCGAUAGGUCCCUGAGAUUCAACCCUUCGUAUCUCGACAACCGUAACUCCGAUUGAGCCCCCUCCGAGAGAGAACUGUUUCCGGCAACUCUUUCCGCGAUGGUUUCACACUUCUUCCCGAAGUAUUUGUCGACCCCAGGCAA
This is a long non-coding RNA of Triticum aestivum (bread wheat), 712 nucleotides long. RefSeq lists it as uncharacterized. The record is from RefSeq and is a predicted model, not a curated record. The transcript is spliced from 3 exons. NCBI's taxonomy places the organism in Eukaryota, Viridiplantae, Streptophyta, Magnoliopsida, Poales, Poaceae.